Molecule: ribosomal RNA, 504 nt
Filed under: Penicillium crustosum
Lineage: Eukaryota; Fungi; Ascomycota; Eurotiomycetes; Eurotiales; Aspergillaceae
Description: eukaryotic LSU rRNA
Rfam family: 5.8S ribosomal RNA (bases 145-297)
Source: RNAcentral
CCCGUGUUUAUUUUACCUUGUUGCUUCGGCGGGCCCGCCUUAACUGGCCGCCGGGGGGCUUACGCCCCCGGGCCCGCGCCCGCCGAAGACACCCUCGAACUCUGUCUGAAGAUUGAAGUCUGAGUGAAAAUAUAAAUUAUUUAAAACUUUCAACAACGGAUCUCUUGGUUCCGGCAUCGAUGAAGAACGCAGCGAAAUGCGAUACGUAAUGUGAAUUGCAAAUUCAGUGAAUCAUCGAGUCUUUGAACGCACAUUGCGCCCCCUGGUAUUCCGGGGGGCAUGCCUGUCCGAGCGUCAUUGCUGCCCUCAAGCCCGGCUUGUGUGUUGGGCCCCGUCCCCCGAUCUCCGGGGGACGGGCCCGAAAGGCAGCGGCGGCACCGCGUCCGGUCCUCGAGCGUAUGGGGCUUUGUCACCCGCUCUGUAGGCCCGGCCGGCGCUUGCCGAUCAACCCAAAUUUUUAUCCAGGUUGACCUCGGAUCAGGUAGGGAUACCCGCUGAACUUAA